RNAcentral lists this unclassified non-coding RNA (194 nucleotides) under uncultured Cyphellophora. RNAcentral describes it as "sequence contains ITS1". Lineage: Eukaryota; Fungi; Ascomycota; Eurotiomycetes; Chaetothyriales; Herpotrichiellaceae. The record is from RNAcentral.
CCGAGUUAGGGUACUCUUCGUGCCCGACCUCCAACCCUUUGUCUACCCGACCAGAUGUUGCUUCGGCAGGCCCGCCGCUCCGUAAGGGGUAGCCGCCGGGGGUCCUUACCGGCCCCGGGUCCGUGCCUGUCGAUGGCCCUUCUAUAAACUCUUGCUUAAAACGUGUCGUCUGAGUAAAACAAACAAAUAAAAUA